This is a long non-coding RNA of Coregonus clupeaformis (lake whitefish), 155 nucleotides long. RefSeq lists it as uncharacterized. The transcript has 3 exons. Lineage: Eukaryota; Metazoa; Chordata; Actinopteri; Salmoniformes; Salmonidae. The record is from RefSeq and is a predicted model, not a curated record.
UGGCAGAGAAGUUAGAGAUAUAUUACAGACACAGAAGAGAAACAUGGUGGAGCAACUCAUCAGACGCUGACAGUGAUGAAUUUCUAUGUCUUCGGAGGAAGUGGCAUAGGGCACUGGUAAUGAAGGAGGAAGCUGCCUCUGAGAUGGAAAGGAAG